AGACAACUCAAUUAUUGCUACAACAUUAUGAAAGCAUAGUAUGAAAAUAAAAAAAUAAUGAUUGAUACCAAAUGCAUACAAAAACAAGUUUAUACUACCCUUAAGGUCACUGGUUUUGCACUUUUUUUCCCAAAUCUAUAGCCUUGUAGAAAAUCAAAGAGAAUGUCUUACACACUUUUAAUGAUUCAGUCAUACUGAAAACAUUUCAGUUUUGGUGUCUUCCACCCUAAAAAAGUUUAGGCUGCCUACAAGGGCGUAGGUUUGGUCUACCAUUUCAGUCAAAAAGUGUUUCACACAUCUCAAAUAUUGGUUAAUUGUCAUAGUUACCUGAAAAAAUACACUUGUUGAAUGAUUUCAAUGCAACUUUACUAAAAAUGUCUGGUUUGCUGAUUUAAGAGACACAUUCAAAAAUGAUGAAAGAAACCAUGAGGCCAGUAAUCGCGCUGUUCUUCGCACUGAUGGUGAUGAGUGCACUAGUGUGCAAUGUCUACGCUGGAUGUGAGAAUGGGAGGUGUUAUCGGAAAUGCACUAACGAUGAAUAUAUAGGCCAUCGUUUAUACUGUGGUGGUGGAAAUGUAUGCUGUGUUUAAAAAGGAGAUUUAAAAAAGGAUUUGGGCCACUGCGAUCGCUGAACCGUGGUGAAAAACAUUAACCUUUUAAGAUGGACUUUGUGGAUCAAGCAAUGUGCACAAUUGUUGACAAUAUUUUUUAUAAUUUUUUUAUAAAUGCAUUUAUUUAACAUACACAAGCUGUAAUGGGCCUUCCCAUAACAAAUGAAGACUGGAACCAAAUCAAAGCACUGUGGUGACUGCAACUCUGAUAUUUUGAAAAAUGUGACCACUUUUAAACAGAGGCAGAUACAAACUGCUAGACUAACACUCUGACAAUAACAAGGGGAAACCGUGGUCGAGGUGCUACACCAACAGCCAACUGCAUGGCCCUUUAAUACACAAGAUAGAAAACAGUAGCCAAGGAAACCGCCAACAGGAGUAGAGUAUUAAACAUAUCAAGUAUUCCCAUGGUGUACAGUCACGACUCGAUAAAAAACGUUUACUGAAAUGGUGCUGAUUAUUGCUGGGAGUCAGUCGUUUGAGCAGCAAUGGGCAACUUGUGUACCAAACAAUUAGAGCACCCCUUUGUUGUUUUACAAAUCCAGUAAAAUGCAAGAGGAGGUGAAGAUACACACAUAUCAACCUAAAACCGCACCUAUCAUUCGGUUAGUGAGUCAAUUAUUAGUAUAA
This is a long non-coding RNA of Alosa sapidissima (American shad), 1241 nucleotides long. RefSeq lists it as uncharacterized. NCBI's taxonomy places the organism in Eukaryota, Metazoa, Chordata, Actinopteri, Clupeiformes, Clupeidae. The record is from RefSeq and is a predicted model, not a curated record. The transcript is spliced from 3 exons.